Molecule: ribosomal RNA, 440 nt
Filed under: uncultured bacterium
Lineage: Bacteria
Description: partial 16S ribosomal RNA
Rfam family: Bacterial small subunit ribosomal RNA
Source: RNAcentral
CCUACGGGAGGCAGCAGUGGGGAAUAUUGCACAAUGGGGGAAACCCUGAUGCAGCGACGCCGCGUGAGCGAUGAAGUAUUUCGGUAUGUAAAGCUCUAUCAGCAGGGAAGAAAAUGACGGUACCUGACUAAGAAGCACCGGCUAACUACGUGCCAGCAGCCGCGGUAAUACGUAGGGGGCAAGCGUUAUCCGGAUUUACUGGGUGUAAAGGGAGCGUAGGCGGGAAGCCAAGUCAGCUGUGAAAACUACGGGCUAAACUUGUAGACUGCAGUUGAAACUGGUUUUCUUGAGUGACGUAGAGGUUGGUGGAAUUCCGGGUGUAGCGGUGAAAUGCGUAGAUAUUCGGAGGAACACCAGUGGCGAAGGCGGGCAACUGUGAUUUAACUGACGCUGAGGCUCGAAAGUGUGGGGAGCAAACAGGAUUAGAUACCCCUGUAGUC